GUGGCUCGAUCCCAGUGCGCACUCCUCCCAGUGCACUGGCCGGUUGGAGUUUUGCCAGGGAGGCCUUCCCACCUGCCUGUCUCAAUGGAAAGAAUAUGUGGAUUUGGAUUCAGGGACACCUUUAUCACCUAUGUGACUUUAGACACAAUUUGUUGAAGUGAAAGAACACUGGAACAGAAACAAGAAUACCUGAGAUGGAGACUCACCUCUUACCAUCAAUCUAGUGUUGACUUUGGGUCCAUCUUUUCUUCUGGGGUAGUAGAAAGAUCAAGAUCAUCAGAGAACGUAGGGUGCAAUAUCAGCUCUCCAGUACCAAACACGGUUCAUUAACCUCUCGGAACCUCAGGUGUCUUGGGGCAUAGUUCAUGUCUCCUGGCCCAUCUCACAGGAUUAUCAGGAGGACGAAUGAGAUAAUUCUCAGGCUAAAGAAAAUAUCACCUAAUGCUUCUGAUAUACAGAAUUGUGUGCUGCAAAUGGUUGAAAAGAUUUUAGUUUCAACACCUAAUUCCCAUCAUUCUGUGGCAAAAUAUAUCUUGAGUUCUGAUGGGCGCCAGAACAACAUCUGAAGAUUGAAUGAAACUUCUAAAGUGAUAACAAGGCCCGUCCUGUACUUCACAGAAGACUUCUGAGGGUCAAAGAGAAGAUUUAUA
Molecule: long non-coding RNA, 650 nt
Filed under: Homo sapiens (human)
Lineage: Eukaryota; Metazoa; Chordata; Mammalia; Primates; Hominidae
Description: HSALNT0119597
Source: RNAcentral